Molecule: ribosomal RNA, 430 nt
Filed under: bacterium
Lineage: Bacteria
Description: partial 16S ribosomal RNA
Rfam family: Bacterial small subunit ribosomal RNA
Source: RNAcentral
UGGGGAAUAUUGGACAAUGGGCGGAAGCCUGAUCCAGCCAUGCCGCGUGUGUGAAGAAGGCCUUUUGGUUGUAAAGCACUUUAAGCGAGGAGGAGGCUACUUGGAUUAAUACUCUAGGAUAGUGGACGUUACUCGCAGAAUAAGCACCGGCUAACUCUGUGCCAGCAGCCGCGGUAAUACAGAGGGUGCGAGCGUUAAUCGGAUUUACUGGGCGUAAAGCGUGCGUAGGCGGCUUCUAAAGUCGGAUGUGAAAUCCCUGAGCUUAACUAGGAAAUUGCAUUCAAUACUGGGAAGCUAGAGUAUGGGGGAGGUUGUAGGAAUUCCGGGUGUAGCGUUGAAAUGCGUAGAGAUCUGGAGGAAUACCGAUGGCGAAGGCAGCCAUCUGGCCUAAUACUGACGCUGAGGUACGAAAGCAUGGGGAGCAAACAGG